CCUACGGGAGGCAGCAGUGAGGAAUAUUGGUCAAUGGACGAGAGUCUGAACCAGCCAAGUAGCGUGAAGGAUGACUGCCCUAUGGGUUGUAAACUUCUUUUAUAUGGGAAUAAAACAGGGUAUGCAUACCCUCUUGUAUGUACCAUAUGAAUAAGGAUCGGCUAACUCCGUGCCAGCAGCCGCGGUAAUACGGAGGAUCCGAGCGUUAUCCGGAUUUAUUGGGGUUAAAGGGAGCGUAGGUGGAUUGUUAAGUCAGUUGUGAAAGUUGGCGGCGCAACCGUAAAAUUGCAGUUGAAACGGGCAGUCGUGAGUACAGUAGAGGUGGGCGGAAUUCGUGGUGUAGCGGUGAAAUGCUUAGAUAUCACGAAGAACUCCGAUUGCGAAGGCAGCUCACUGGACUGCAACUGACACUGAGGCUCGAAAGUGUGGGUAUCAAACAGGAUUAGAUACCCCAGUAGUG
RNAcentral lists this ribosomal RNA (460 nucleotides) under uncultured bacterium. RNAcentral's name for it is "partial 16S ribosomal RNA". It matches the Rfam family "Bacterial small subunit ribosomal RNA", at positions 338 to 795 of the family's 1533-position model. The record is from RNAcentral.